CUCUGGAUAACUUCACGCCGAUCGCACGGCCUUCGCGCCGGCGACGUAUCUUUCAAAUGUCUGCCUUAUCAACUGUCGAUGGUAGGUUACGCGCCUACCAUGGUUGCAACGGGUAACGGGGAAUCGGGGUUCGAUUCCGGAGAGGGAGCCUGAGAAACGGCUACCACAUCCAAGGAAGGCAGCAGGCGCGCAAAUUACCCACUCCCGGCACGGGGAGGUAGUGACGAAAAAUAACGAUACGGGACUCUUCCGAGGCCCCGUGAUUGGAAUGAGUACACUUUAAAUCCUUUAACGAGGAACCAUUGGAGGGCAAGUCUGGUGCCAGCAGCCGCGGUAACUCCAGCUCCAAUAGCGUAUAUUAAAGUUGUUGCGGUUAAAAAGCUCGUAGUCGGAUGUCUGUCUUCGGCCGGGCGGCGCCGCUCUGAAUCAAGGGUGUUGCGUUUCACGCUCUGGGAGCCCGGGUGUCAAAGCCCGACUCUCUUCACGGUCGGACAACAUCGCCGGAGUGGUGGUCGGUGCGUCGUUGUUGUAUCUGCGGCCAGAGUUGGAAAGUUCUUUCGGGUUCUUUUUUAAUUUUGGUCGUAGUUGACUCGAUUCGCUCCACCCAGUCAAUCGUUCGGGGUGCCCUUCACCGGGUGUCUCGGGCGGNCGGCAACGUUUACUUUGAACAAAUUAGAGUGCUCAAAGCAGGUGUAUCCCAACGCCUGAAUAUCGCAGCAUGGAAUGAUGGAAUAGGACCUCGGUCCGAUUUUGCUGGUCUUUUACUUUUGGACCCGAGGUAAUGGUCAAUAGAGACGGACGGGGGCAUUCGUACUGCGGCGACAGAGGUGAAAUUCUUGGACCGCCGCAAGACGAACAACAGCGAAGGCAUUUGCCAAGAAUGUUUUCCUUGAUCAAGAACGAAAGUUAGAGGUUCGAAGGCGAUCAGAUACCGCCCUAGUUCUAACCAUAAACGAUGCCAACCAGCAAUCCGUCGGAGUUACUCCAAUGACUCGACGGGCAGCUUCCGGGAAACCAAAGUCUUUGGGUUCCGGGGGAAGUAUGGUUGCAAAGCUGAAACUUAAAGGAAUUGACGGAAGGGCACCACCAGGAGUGGAGCCUGCGGCUUAAUUUGACUCAACACGGGAAACCUCACCAGGCCCGGACACUGGAAGGAU
Molecule: ribosomal RNA, 1157 nt
Filed under: Daphnia pulex (common water flea)
Lineage: Eukaryota; Metazoa; Arthropoda; Branchiopoda; Diplostraca; Daphniidae
Description: SSU rRNA
Rfam family: Eukaryotic small subunit ribosomal RNA
Source: RNAcentral